RNAcentral lists this long non-coding RNA (795 nucleotides) under Equus caballus (horse). RNAcentral describes it as "lncRNA (ENSECAG00000052764.1)". Lineage: Eukaryota; Metazoa; Chordata; Mammalia; Perissodactyla; Equidae. The record is from RNAcentral.
GCCAAGCGGUGCCAUGUCCGCACCCGGGAUUGGAACCGGAAUCGGCGAACCCCGGGCUGCCGAGAAGCUGAUAAUAAAAUGUAAUGUCUAUGGAGUUUGGCCUUAAAAUUAUUUCAGCUAUUUCAGGAACACAGUCUUGGAAAAUUUAUUGACGCUCUGGCAAAAGAAGGAUCAUUCUCCAAAUCAGUCAUUCAGUCUUCAGAAGCCUAGGAUUGUUUCUGCUUCUGAAGAUCGUGGACUUCCUAGGUUCUAUGGGUGACAAAUAACUGCAUCAAGACAUAAUAGAAAGAAAUCUGUUUAAAAAAAUGCAAAGCCUAAGUGACCUGAAAAUUUUAAAGUAUCAAGAUGGAAGUGCUCCUAAGGCUAUGUAAUUCCACCCAGGAAUAAAUUUCUAACUGUGCAGAAGAUGAAAAACCCCAUUAAAGAAGAAGUUCUCAAGUACCUGAUAAGGGAGACGAGAGCAUUUACAGCUGGUUGGUUAGCCCACAUCCACCAUGAACUAACCUUUUCCCUUCCAUAGAAGCUGGAGGACGUAAACUGACUUAUCCAGUCUCCCUUCCAGCUACAGAUGGUCAUGUCACAUCCUUCUGGCCAAAGAGACUAAAGCAGAAGUCUGCUGGGGGACAUAUGGGAAACUCUUGCUUCCCUAGAAAAGGGGACACACAUACUUGGGAAUGCAACUUUACGACUUGAACGUGAGCUUGAUGCCUGGAGUACUGUGAAAAUGAAGAUAAGGUCAAGAGAACUUCAGAAAUGUCAGCUCUGAUACCUUUGAGCUGCUGAACCAACACAAGC